Long non-coding RNA from Mauremys reevesii (Reeves's turtle), 413 nucleotides. RefSeq lists it as uncharacterized. Lineage: Eukaryota; Metazoa; Chordata; Testudines; Geoemydidae. The record is from RefSeq and is a predicted model, not a curated record. The transcript has 3 exons.
GGGGAGGGAAAAGCUCCUAUUCAAAACACAAACAUGUCUGAUAACAGCAGGAGAUAGAGAAGACAAGAUCAGAGGUGCAUUCUGGGAUGUGCUGACCCAUCAUGCAGGAACCGCAUGGAUUCCUGGGAUGCCCUUGCUCAGCUGUCUGGUGCUGAUGAGCCUGACCGCCCCAAAGCAGUAGCCUGUCUGCACAUUUUCUGCAGCUGGGGCCAAUUCAUGAGCCUAAGAGAUGGUGCAUAAAGUAGCAGCGAAGCAGGAAGCAUUCACAGUCUGGAACAAGCACCCAUCAUAUUGCAAAUACCAUAGGUGACAGGAGAACAUCAGCUGCCUCCUUACGUUCUGUUUGGCUUCCUGGCCUGGAAAACUGAAAGAUGUCCUUAUAGUUGGACAUAGUCUGAUACACUAAGAUCUCU